GACGAACGCUGGCGGCGUGCCUAAUACAUGCAAGUAGAACGCUGAAGGAGGAGUUUGCUUCUCUGGUUGAGUUGCGAACGGGUGAGUAACGCGUAGGUAACCUGCCUUGUAGCGGGGGAUAACUAUUGGAAACGAUAGCUAAUACCGCAUAAUAGUAGCUGUUGCAUGACAUUUGCUUAAAAGGUGCAAUUGCAUCACUACCAGAUGGACCUGCGGUGUAUUAGCUAGUUGGUGAGGUAAAGGCUCACCAAGGCGAGGAUACAUAGCCGACCUGAGAGGGGGAGCGGCCAGACUGGGACGGAGACACGGCACAGAGGCCUACGGGAGGCAGCAGGAGGGAAACUGCGGCAAGGGACGGAAGUCUGAGCGAGCAACGCCGCGGGAGGGAAGAAGGAUGUCGGAUCGUAAAGCACGGUUGUAAGAGAAGAACGAGUGUGAGAGUGGAAAGUACACACUGUGACGGUAACUGACCAGAAAGGGACGGCUAACUACGUG
RNAcentral lists this ribosomal RNA (495 nucleotides) under uncultured bacterium. Its description in RNAcentral is "partial 16S ribosomal RNA". It matches the Rfam family "Bacterial small subunit ribosomal RNA", at positions 28 to 507 of the family's 1533-position model. The record is from RNAcentral.